This 413-nucleotide ribosomal RNA is filed under the name uncultured bacterium. RNAcentral describes it as "bacterial SSU rRNA". It matches the Rfam family "Bacterial small subunit ribosomal RNA", at positions 358 to 774 of the family's 1533-position model. The record is from RNAcentral.
GGAAUAUUCCACAAUGGGCGAAAGCCUGAUGGAGCGACGCCGCGUGAGUGAAGAAGGGCUUCGGCUCGUAAAGCUCUUUUCUCGUUGACGAAUUAGCCUUCGAGGCAGUUGACGGUAGACGGGGAAUAAGCCACGGCUAACUACGUGCCAGCAGCCGCGGUAAUACGUAGGUGGCAAGCGUUGUCCGGAAUUAUUGGGCGUAAAGGGAGCGCAGGCGGGACGGUAAGUCCAAAUUAAAAGUGCAGUAGUAAUGACUGUGAUGGUUUGGAAACUAUCGUUCUUGAGAGCAGGAGAGGCAAGCGGAAUUCCCAGUGUAGCGGUGAAAUGCGUAGAUAUUGGGAGGAACACCAGUGGCGAAGGCGGCUUGCUGGACUGAGUCUGACGCUGAGGCUCGAAAGCCAGGGUAGCGAACG